This is a long non-coding RNA of Sciurus carolinensis (gray squirrel), 343 nucleotides long. RefSeq lists it as uncharacterized. Lineage: Eukaryota; Metazoa; Chordata; Mammalia; Rodentia; Sciuridae. The transcript has 3 exons. The record is from RefSeq and is a predicted model, not a curated record.
AACGACUUUCAGAGAGAAUGUGAAUACAUUUGGUGUGAACUAUAAAGCUGGAAAACCCCUAAAUAGAUGCAGUAUCGAUAGCGAGUUUCUUGAAGAGUCACCUGCCAAACUCCAUUAGCGACAUCUCUACUGAUCCCUCCAGUUAAUCAGAGCUGACUUCAUCGACAGCUUGCUCUGGUUAAUUACCACAGUGUUUUAACUGAAUGCCCCAAGGAAUUGAUGUAGUCAACCAUCACUUCAAGCCUCAGAACACUAGAAAUCUUGGCAGAACUCUGGAGAAAGCUUAUCGAUAUCUAAGCCACAAACCAGUCUCAAGGGUUCGAUGACCUUUCAUCCAGAGUUU